CUUAGCAUCAGAUUCCAAUCGACAACAAUUUGAAACAACGCAUCAUGAAGUUUGCUAUCUGCCUCGUUUUCAUAGCUAUGGCCUUCCUGGCAACGUACACCGACGCCUGCUGCUGUCAUCACGGCAGUCACCACAGCCACCACAGCAGGCACGGCAUCCCCAUCCCCAUCCCUUACCCCAUGGGCGGCAGCAGCGGCGGCAGCCACUCCGCCAACAUCCCCCUCAUCAUCACAACAACAGGAAAAUAAACACGGCACAGAUGACGGUGGUAAAAAUCCUAGGCGGUUACCUCCCCUUCAGGAAACUGCUUUUGACAGGAAUUCAACGCAUUUCGAGCUACGAAGAUCAGUUACUAUUUAAUGUACUGCUGAGUAUAAUAAAUUCUAAAUACCUCA
Molecule: long non-coding RNA, 395 nt
Organism: Haliotis rufescens (red abalone)
Lineage: Eukaryota; Metazoa; Mollusca; Gastropoda; Lepetellida; Haliotidae
Exons: 3
Source: RefSeq, a predicted model, not a curated record